UAGUCCACGCCGUAAACGAUGCACACUAGGUCGGGGAGGUUUUCACGCCGUCCCGGCCGAAGGUAAACUAUUAAGUGUGCCGCCUGGGGAGUACGGUCGCAAGGCUAAAACUCAAAGGAAUUGACGGGGGCUCACACAAGCGGUGGAGCAUGUUGCUUAAUUCGAGGCAACGCGAAGAACCUUACCUGGGCUUGACAUGCACGGAUUAGCUCUUGGAAACAUGAGUAACGCCCUUUGGGUGGAACGUGCACAGGUGCUGCAUGGCUGUCGUCAGCUCGUGCUGUGAAGUGUCGGGUUAAGUCCCUUAACGAGCGCAACCCCUAUCGUUAGUUACUAACGCGUUAUGGCGAGGACUCUAGCGAGACUGCCGGUGUCAAACCGGAGGAAGGUGGGGAUGACGUCAAGUCCUCAUGGCCCCUUACGCCCAGGGGAUGCAAACGUGCUACAAUGGGCAUGGACAAGCGACGCAAGACCGCGAGGGUGGAGCAAAUCGACAAAAACC
This 502-nucleotide ribosomal RNA is filed under the name uncultured bacterium. Its description in RNAcentral is "bacterial SSU rRNA". It matches the Rfam family "Bacterial small subunit ribosomal RNA", at positions 791 to 1282 of the family's 1533-position model. The record is from RNAcentral.